AUGGACGCAAGUCUGAUGGAGCAACGCCGCGUGAGUGAAGAAGGGUUUCGGCUCGUAAAGCUCUGUUGGUAGUGAAGAAAGAUAGAGGUAGUAACUGGCCUUUAUUUGACGGUAAUUACUUAGAAAGUCACGGCUAACUACGUGCCAGCAGCCGCGGUAAUACGUAGGUGGCAAGCGUUGUCCGGAUUUAUUGGGCGUAAAGCGAGUGCAGGCGGUUCAAUAAGUCUGAUGUGAAAGCCUUCGGCUCAACCGGAGAAUUGCAUCAGAAACUGUUGAACUUGAGUGCAGAAGAGGAGAGUGGAACUCCAUGUGUAGCGGUGGAAUGCGUAGAUAUAUGGAGGAACACCAGUGGCGAAGGCGGCUCUCUGGUCUGCAACUGACGCUGAGGCUCGAAAGCAUGGGUAGCGAACAGGAUUAGAUACCCUGGUAGUCCAUGCCGUAAACGAUGAGUGCUAAGUGUUGGGAGGUUUCCGCCUCUCAGUGCUGCAGCUAACGCAUUAAGCACUCCGCCUGGGGAGUACGACCGCAAGGUUGAAACUCAAAGGAAUUGACGGGGGCCCGCACAAGCGGUGGAGCAUGUGGUUUAAUUCGAAGCAACGCGAAGAACCUUACCAGGUCUUGACAU
This 625-nucleotide ribosomal RNA is filed under the name Lactobacillus gasseri. Its description in RNAcentral is "bacterial SSU rRNA". It matches the Rfam family "Bacterial small subunit ribosomal RNA", at positions 371 to 987 of the family's 1533-position model. Lineage: Bacteria; Bacillati; Bacillota; Bacilli; Lactobacillales; Lactobacillaceae. The record is from RNAcentral.